CGCAGGCUGCAACCCGCCUGCGUGAAGUCGGAAUCGCUAGUAAUCGCGGAUCAGCAUGCCGCGGUGAAUACGUUCCCGGGCCUUGUACACACCGCCCGUCACACCAUGAGAGUCGGGAACACCCGAAGCCCGUAGCCUAACUUGCAAGAGGAGGGCGCGGUCGAAGGUGGGUUCGAUAAUUGGGGUGAAGUCGUAACAAGGUAUC
This 205-nucleotide ribosomal RNA is filed under the name uncultured bacterium. RNAcentral describes it as "partial 16S ribosomal RNA". It matches the Rfam family "Bacterial small subunit ribosomal RNA", at positions 1299 to 1500 of the family's 1533-position model. The record is from RNAcentral.